UACGUAGGGUGCGAGCGUUAAUCGGAAUUACUGGGCGUAAAGCGUGCGCAGGCGGUCUGUUAAGACAGAUGUGAAAUCCCCGGGCUUAACCUGGGAACUGCAUUUGUGACUGCAUAGCUAGAGUACGGUAGAGGGGGAUGGAAUUCCGCGUGUAGCAGUGAAAUGCGUAGAUAUGCGGAGGAACACCGAUGGCGAAGGCAAUCCCCUGGACCUGUACUGACGCUCAUGCACGAAAGCGUGGGGAGCAAACAGG
RNAcentral lists this ribosomal RNA (253 nucleotides) under uncultured bacterium. RNAcentral's name for it is "partial 16S ribosomal RNA". It matches the Rfam family "Bacterial small subunit ribosomal RNA", at positions 524 to 776 of the family's 1533-position model. The record is from RNAcentral.